RNAcentral lists this unclassified non-coding RNA (346 nucleotides) under uncultured fungus. RNAcentral describes it as "partial contains 18S rRNA, ITS1, 5.8S rRNA, ITS2 and 28S rRNA". Lineage: Eukaryota; Fungi. The record is from RNAcentral.
AAGGAUCAUUAUUGAUUGCGAAUUGUUGUCUUCAGUGCUGGCCAGCUCUGGCAAGUGCACGUUGGCAGCUUUUCAUCCAAUACCCCUGUGCACCUUUGGCCUCUUGCUAGCCUUGGCUGGCAGAGGAUUUUUACACCAACUCGAAUGUAAUGAAAUUAUUGUUGUGCGUAAGCACUAAUGUACAACUUUCAACAACGGAUCUCUUGGCUCUCGCAUCGAUGAAGAACGCAGCUACAAGGCUUUCCCUUUAGGUCUAUGUCAUCUCUGAAACAAAUAUGUGUCUAGAAUGUUGGAAUAAAUAAAAAGUUAUAAAAAACAACUUUCAACAACGGAUCUCUUGGCUCUC